RNAcentral lists this long non-coding RNA (614 nucleotides) under Durio zibethinus. Its description in RNAcentral is "long non-coding RNA (DZIB_LNC001020)". The record is from RNAcentral. Lineage: Eukaryota; Viridiplantae; Streptophyta; Magnoliopsida; Malvales; Malvaceae.
AAAAAAAUAUUGAUAUAACAGAAUUAUUUCGAAGAAUUAUUUUUUUAUUGGUGUUGAAAUUUGUUGAAUCCUUAGAAAUACAAAAAGCAAACCUUUCAAGUUAUAUAGGAUAAGAUUAUUCACCAAAGAUAAUACUUCAAUCAAUGUGUCUUUGAAUAUUAGCUCAUUGAUAUCUACAUAUAAAUACAUAAUGUUAAAAUCGUCAAUCAUUUGAUCAAUUAAUCCUUUCAUCAUUUAUGAAAUAUGAAAAAAAAAGAAUAAAUUAGAUAUACAAAUAUUCUCAACAUCCUUUUUAUUCUUAAUUAUUUCUUGAUCCCUUUUUCGUUUUUUUUAUUUCUUUUAUUUUUUUCAUAAAUAUUUGAUUAAUUUCAACACGACAUACACCUUAUAUUUUAAUUCUGGCAUCCACUAGUUUUUUUUUUUUUUUUGAUAAGUUUGGCAUACUUAACAGUUCAAUCUCUAACUAAUUCCAUUCUCGCUGAGCUCACGAGUGCAUUAUAAGUAUUCUUAUAGCAUUGCAAUAUUUAAUGUGAUGAGUUGGUAGUGGAUGAAUAGAGUAUUGGAGUAUACUAAUAGAAAGGAAUUUGCGCAAAGAUUAAUUUAUGAAGAUAAAA